This 660-nucleotide long non-coding RNA is filed under the name Mus musculus (house mouse). Its description in RNAcentral is "predicted gene, 33981". The record is from RNAcentral. Lineage: Eukaryota; Metazoa; Chordata; Mammalia; Rodentia; Muridae.
GUGUGACUAUGUAAAAGAUCCUUUGCAAAGUACUGGUGACCUUGAAGACAGAUUCUGUAGCUUAAAGACUUAGAAUCUAGUGUGUUCUCUGACUGAGAGAGCAUAAAGAUCAGCAGGCCUUAAGGUACCAGAGGAUCCUGUGGGUUGCCACAAGACAAGAAACAGGAUGAUAACCUGAAAUAGACACAGAGCUAUUGCUAUAAUUGCCUGUCUAGAAGUUAGGUAAAUCAUCUAAACUGUAAGGAUUCCAGUGGAUACCGAAGACCACCUGAGAUACCCAAGCUUGUGGACUGGGCAAUUACUGGAUUUUUUGACUUUCUGUUCACAGCAAGAAAUUUUUGGAUUAGCUGGACCACAUCCUAACAGAGGAAACCUGGUCAAAGGCCAGAUUCUGGUUUCCAUCAGAGCAGCUCUGACUACUCACAGAAGCCCCCUGAGAUCAUACGUGUUUACUAUUGAUGUCCUCCCAUAGAAGCCAGCUCUAUGUGACUCUGCCCUGCCUGCACAUGACUUCUCAUGGUCCAUGGAUGCUCUCGAAGACCAUACUCCAAUGGAUGACCUCAUGAGUAUAUGGGUAGCAUGAAUCAGACCCGAUGGAUAAUAGAAGAGGAGAAGGAGGAGGAACAUGAGGAGGAGAAAGAAGAAGUGGAAAGGAGAAGA